GGGGAUUUAGCUCAGUGGUAAAGCAUUUGCCUAGCAAGCGCAAGGCCCUGGGUUCGGUCCCCAGCUCCG
This 69-nucleotide transfer RNA is filed under the name Rattus norvegicus (Norway rat). It matches the Rfam family "tRNA". From Rfam's summary of the family: Transfer RNA (tRNA) molecules are approximately 80 nucleotides in length. Their secondary structure includes four short double-helical elements and three loops (D, anti-codon, and T loops). Lineage: Eukaryota; Metazoa; Chordata; Mammalia; Rodentia; Muridae. The record is from Rfam by way of RNAcentral.